CAAAUUGAAGAGUUUGAUCCUGGCUCAGAACGAACGCUGGCGGCAUGGCUAAGACAUGCAAGUCGAACGGACCAUUUUGAAGAGUAAUCGGACGGAUGGUUAGUGGCGAAAGGGUGAGGAAUAGAUAGGAACGUACCUUUAGCUUCGGAAUAGCUCGCUGAAAGGCGGGGUAAUACCGGAUAAUACCGAAAGGUCAAAGAUUUAUCGGCUAUUGAGCGGCCUAUCUCCUAUCAGCUAGUUGGUGGGGUAAUGGCCUACCAAGGCGACGACGGGUAGCGGGACUGAGAGGUUGGCCCGCCACAUCGGGACUGAGACACUGCCCGGACCUCCACGGAGGGCUGCA
This 343-nucleotide ribosomal RNA is filed under the name Candidatus Zhuqueibacterota bacterium. Its description in RNAcentral is "bacterial SSU rRNA". It matches the Rfam family "Bacterial small subunit ribosomal RNA", at positions 1 to 353 of the family's 1533-position model. The record is from RNAcentral. Lineage: Bacteria; Pseudomonadati.